GUCCUUGUCGAUUAGUGGUUAGAUCAUCACGUUGUGGUAUCACGUGACCAUGAGAUGGCAAUUCCGUGAAGGCGGAGGCUUGAAUCCUCCCUGGGACA
Non-coding RNA from Cerioporus squamosus, 98 nucleotides. The record is from the annotation of a GenBank genome assembly. NCBI's taxonomy places the organism in Eukaryota, Fungi, Basidiomycota, Agaricomycetes, Polyporales, Polyporaceae.